CCAAAAAAAAACCCAAACCCCACACAAAAAACGCUUCUCUCGAUCACAUCUCGAUCUCCGAAAGAGCUUCGUUGCCCCUGCCGACGUACGGGAGAGCUUCCUUGCCGCCGCCGACGUACGAUCUGCCGCGAUCUCGUUCGAUCUACCCGCUGCCGAUGUACGAGAUCGCCGACACCGAGAUACGGGAUCGCCGCCAACGUACGAUCUGCCGUCUCUCGCUGCCGCCGUGGUACGAUCUGCCGUCUCUCCCAGAGGAGGCGCCGCCGCGGACGUCCGGGAUCACCGCCGCCGACCUGCCAGAGGAGACGCCGCCUCCAAUCUCCUAGAGGAGCCGCCGCCGCCGCCGGUCUCCGACGGGAGACGCCGUCGCCGGUCUCUGACGGGAGACGCCGACCUUUGAGGGGAGACGCCGCCGCCACCUGCGCUGAACCCCAGGGCAGGGUGCGACGAUCGUCGCAAGGAGUACUUGCCGGCCGUACACAGGUAUUCUGAACCUUACCAUCCUAUUCUCAUCAUUCACAAAUGUGUUCAGAUAGUUGUUGCUUGUGUCGUUCCUGUUACUAGAGGAGGGCUCCACUGUGGCCAUUCGCCACUCUGCCUGCAAGCUCGACGCCACAGUUUGACAGGGCCAAGGUGGUAGUAGACGAUGACGAAUAUGGCGCCCUGGCUGUCUCAGUUCAUGAGAUUCCCCUAUGGUGGCCGAAUUUGUAACACACCAGGCUGCUCCCCUCGUAUUGCAAAUCAGAGCUAGCUUAUAUAUUCAUCCAUAGGUCAUGGCUGACUCCAAAGGCAACACUCCUCCUGUGCGUGAUGGCAAAGCUAUGCUACAUGAUAUUAUCACGUUAUCAUAUUGCUCACCAAGUCACUAGGCCAGCUUUUGCUGUACUUUUUCUUCAUUUUGUUCAGAUUUAUUUCAUGCCCCAAUGUUCUGUUAUGUGCAGCUAUGUGAUUUUAUUUGAAGAACCAUGCAAAGCAAUUUGAGAUGAUGCAUAUAAAGCAUAUUCGAUUUAUUAAGUGUUUUCAAGUAUUCAAUUUAUUAAGAGUUCACUCAUCAUUGCCGACCGUACACAGGUAUUCUGAACCUUACCAUCCGAUUUUCAGAAUAAGAGUUGUCUGUAUAAUUCAUGGUGGUUAAAACAGCAGCAUCUGUAGAAUUCCCCUUUGUCCAUGUUGUACCUACAAUUUACUACUAUAUUUGUAGUGCUACUUCAUUUGAAUUUUGUAACCAAAAUAAAUGCAGGCGAGCGAUUCAGGGUUAUUGUUCGAAGUGGCUAUAAUAUGUAGGGGUUAUUGUUCGAAGUGGCUAUAAUAUGUGGCUGCAAACUUGCCGAGGCCAGCAUAAGGAGUGAUGGAGUUAUCUUCUACUUUUAUUUGUUCAUGUUGUCUCAACAAACUGACUUGUGUUUAUGGCGACUUUUUUAUGUGUCCAUGGAUCAGAGAGGAUGGAUGAUGCAGUGGCCACAUCAAGCGCCCUGUGCUCGACGACAAUGGAAAUGCAGUUUCUCAGAGCUAGCAGGAAGGAGGCUGAUGGCUUCCCGUUGUAGUAAGAGACAACACACCAGGUUCUAUUUCUUGUUUUUUGAAGAUCAUACUAGGUUAUAUGUGAACAAAAUCUGAACUGUGAUUUUUGAUGUUUGAGAUGUCUAUAAGUGUACAAAUAGAAAGGCGCCAAUUAAUUGAUCAUCAAAUUCAGAAUAGUAUGUGUGCAGUAGCUUCUAUCUCAAUUUGGUUUUUAUGUUGUUUGUGUUUGAAUUAAUUAGCACCCCAUACCAUCGUGUUUCUUCAGCCUGCAAGGUGAUUAGCACUCAGCAAACUAUUGGAAAGAUGUUGCUACCUUGUUUUUUUUCAAACUCGACAUGCACGUGCAAGAAUAGGUAUGGCUACAUGCUUUCUAUAUCUAUCAGGUUCAUAAAGCAUUUUGGAGAGGUGCAUCUUGUUGGAGAGGUCUGGUAUGUAUUUAAUUGAAGAAAACAAAAGUUUUUGAUAGAAUAAAGAUUGAUGAAAAUUUGGACUUACUCUACCAGGGACAAUUUUCAUGAUAAAUUAUACGAAGUUUGUAUCUUGGGGACAUCUUCAUGCCGACUUACGUUAAAUAUUGGGAUAUGUCCCCUCAUGUGCCAGUUUUGAGAUUUUGUUAGAAGUACAUGAUCUAUUCUUAGUUCCUGCAUGUUUUUUCACCUUUGUAGAUUUGAGUAUAACUUAAAGUUCUAGAUGCAUAUAAGCUUGUGAGUUAACUAAAGCUCACUUGAUGGUUCUAACUAAAUUCUGCAAAAAUAUGACCAUCAUGGGAUGCCUGCACCAACAACUUUAUAAACUGAACUACGUUUUGCUAGAUGACUCAAAUUUUAGAACGCGGGCAUUAUUUUUUUGGGAUGCAGUUAGCAAUAGAAUCAAGUCAAGCUGAAAACAAGAGAUUGAUUGUUCGAUAUUGAAUUUAAUUCCUUUCUUGCAAAAGCACCUUAUGAGUGAGGAGAUUAUUCAAUAUUGUAUUUUAUUCCUUUCUUUUACCCACUGUUCUAUAUUGCAUGCUUGCACCUGAUCAGGUUUCUAACUCAAUUCAUUUUUGUUAGAUCCGUUGAUGAAGAAAACCACACAUUUCACGAUAUGAUGAUUGGUACUUCCAGUUUUGUUGUACUCUCUCAUUUGCCUUUGUGGGAACGACACUGCUCUAUUGCUUGCUUAUUUAAGAUCAUGCAUAUAUGCCGCAUGUCAGCCUCAUGGGGAUCAAACAGAUGAGGAGAAGGAAGCAGCAAGGAAGAAGGUAGAGGAGAUGGACACCUGAUCUGCAAGUUCCUGAAUUUCAACGUUUAUUGCGUGUUGCUGUGUUAAUAUUGGGUGCAGCAAUUUCACAACUCUGGGAAGAGCAUCUGCUGGAGGGCGUCACCUGCGGCAUCACCUGCAUCGACCUCUCGCUGAUUACCAUCCCAAGGAUGCGCGACUGACUGGCGAAGCAGGGCUUCAGUGAUAAGUUCACCGAUUUGGUCGACUCACCGUUCCCUUCCUCUGUCCACGCAAUGCCGCUCGUUGUUGUUAGGUGCUUCCACCUUCCAAACUACAAGGUCUGCAGCCUUAGAUGAACAACUACAGCUUUAUUUGCCCGAGGAUGAUUUGAUUGUGCAAGUAAGCCUACAUAAUUUCCCUUGUGAUUUAUAUUUAUCGGCGAGGUCUCUGUGGCUUGCGAGAAAUCAUGUAUUGACAUAAAUGAGAAGAACCUACAAUAAGUAACUCCACUGAAUUUGUGAGAUAUCUGUAGCCGGUACAACAUACAACUUGAUGGAGUUUGUUAGAUCAACCGUAGAAGUUCUAUAUGUGUGUUCAGUGCAGAUAACUAGAUAUUAUUAUAAUAUUCUCUCAAGUUUAAGCUUAUCCAAUUAGCAGAAGUCUUGAGAAAAUUCAAGACAUACGUAAGAUGCACAUGGACCACGAGUCUUUCAACAUGGCAGGGCGCGUAGUGGCAUGCGACAAGCAACAUAUGUUGAAAGAGACCAUUGAUCACUACUUGGACCUAAAUUUUUCCGUCAGUUAUUAUUGUUACAAUCAUGUAUCAUUGUUUUCACCAUGUUUGCAAAUAUUUUUUUCCUCUGACGAUUGUGUGCAAGUUUGCAGGGAAUCCAAAGCAAUGCAUAAAGUGGGAUAUUUUUCUUUUAAUUUAUGCACUCAUGAAAUGAGAAAGAACUAAAUCAACCAAUUUGCAGGGUGACUAUUCAUUGUUUCAUAAUUUUAUAUUCUUCCAUGUUAAUACUCCAAGAUGACGACUUAUAAUGCUCAUAUAGGAUGGUUGCGAGCUAAGGAAGUGAUUUUUGGUGCACCUUCUCGUCUGCUCCCGCGAGCGGCGAGGCGAACCCUAGCGUGCCUCCUCCAGCCUCCCUCCCUCUCUUGCCGGCGUCGGUGGCGGCGGGGCAUCUUCCCCUUCCUCAUGGUGGGCCGGCGCGGGACGGCGACUCGAAGCGGAGGCGCGCAGUUCUACAGGACGGUGCGGCGGCCGGGCCGGCACGAUGGUGGCGUCCUGGGUCGGCGGCGCGGGCGGCUGCUCAUCGGGGGCGUGGUGGGGCGUGCCUACGCGGGUGGCGGCUCUGAGCGUCCUGGCCAGAUCUGGAUCGGGCGGGUGCUCUGGCCGGCAGCCAGCACGCGGCGCGGGCUGAGGCGGCAAGGGCACAUGCAUGCCUCCCACUUAUAUUAUGCGGUAGGGGUUAGUCUGUUUAGUUAUGUCUGAGCGGAAUAAUUUUCCUACUCAAGAAAACGUGGCAACUUAUGUUUCAUUAGAGAUGGCUUUGUAGCAAAUUGCAUGAUCGAGCGAUUCAUAUUUUUGUCAUCAAGUCGUA
Long non-coding RNA from Triticum aestivum (bread wheat), 4322 nucleotides. RefSeq lists it as uncharacterized. The transcript is spliced from 3 exons. The record is from RefSeq and is a predicted model, not a curated record. Lineage: Eukaryota; Viridiplantae; Streptophyta; Magnoliopsida; Poales; Poaceae.